This 476-nucleotide ribosomal RNA is filed under the name Cupriavidus basilensis. RNAcentral describes it as "bacterial SSU rRNA". It matches the Rfam family "Bacterial small subunit ribosomal RNA", at positions 29 to 500 of the family's 1533-position model. The record is from RNAcentral. Lineage: Bacteria; Pseudomonadati; Pseudomonadota; Betaproteobacteria; Burkholderiales; Burkholderiaceae.
AUUGAACGCUGGCGGCAUGCCUUACACAUGCAAGUCGAACGGCAGCACGGGAGCAAUCCUGGUGGCGAGUGGCGAACUGGUGAGUAAUACAUCGGAACGUGCCCUGUCGUGGGGGAUAACUAGUCGAAAGAUUAGCUAAUACCGCAUACGACCUGAGGGUGAAAGCGGGGGACCGCAAGGCCUCGCGCGAUAGGAGCGGCCGAUGUCUGAUUAGCUAGUUGGUGGGGUAAAGGCCCACCAAGGCGACGAUCAGUAGCUGGUCUGAGAGGACGAUCAGCCACACUGGGACUGAGACACGGCCCAGACUCCUACGGGAGGCAGCAGUGGGGAAUUUUGGACAAUGGGGGCAACCCUGAUCCAGCAAUGCCGCGUGUGUGAAGAAGGCCUUCGGGUUGUAAAGCACUUUUGUCCGGAAAGAAAUCCCUUGCCCUAAUACGGCGGGGGGAUGACGGUACCGGAAGAAUAGCACCGGCUAA